UACGGGGGGAGCAAGCGUUGUUCGGAUUUACUGGGCGUAAAGGGCGCGUAGGCGGCGUGACAAGUCACUUGUGAAAUCUCCGGGCUUAACCCGGAGCGGUCAAGUGAUACUGUCGUGCUAGAGUGCGGAAGGGGCAACUGGAAUUCUCGGUGUAGCGGUGAAAUGCGUAGAUAUCGAGAGGAACACCUGCGGCGAAGGCGGGUUGCUGGGCCGACACUGACGCUGAGGCGCGAAAGCCAGGGGAGCGAACGGG
This 253-nucleotide ribosomal RNA is filed under the name uncultured bacterium. RNAcentral describes it as "partial 16S ribosomal RNA". It matches the Rfam family "Bacterial small subunit ribosomal RNA", at positions 524 to 776 of the family's 1533-position model. The record is from RNAcentral.